GACGAACCGUGCGAACGUUAUUCGGAAUCACUGGGCUUAAAGCGCGUGUAGGCGGAUGGGAACGUCGGUCGCUGAAAUCCCCCGGCUCAACCGGGGAACGGGCGCCGAAACGACCCGUCUGGAGGGACGUAGGGGGACCUGGAACUUCCGGUGGAGCGGUGAAAUGCGUUGAGAUCGGAAGGAACGCCCGUGGCGAAAGCGGCUUACUGGGUCUCUUCUGACGCUGAGAAACGGAAAGCUAGGGGAGCGAAGGGG
Molecule: ribosomal RNA, 255 nt
Filed under: uncultured bacterium
Lineage: Bacteria
Description: partial 16S ribosomal RNA
Rfam family: Bacterial small subunit ribosomal RNA
Source: RNAcentral